This 717-nucleotide long non-coding RNA is filed under the name Homo sapiens (human). RNAcentral describes it as "TMEM161B divergent transcript". The record is from RNAcentral. Lineage: Eukaryota; Metazoa; Chordata; Mammalia; Primates; Hominidae.
GUGGUGGCUGCGCUUGCGAGGACCCUGAGGUAGAUUGGGUGGUUUCAACAGGAACGCAUCCACUGUCUGAGAGUUUAAACUUGAUUUUGUGAGGGGACGAACAGCGUGACAAUUAAAAGAAGAUCUGGGAAUCAAAAGCUUCCUGAGGCCUUCACCAGAAGCAGAUGCUGGUGCCGUGCUUCUACAGCCUGCAGAACUCAUCACCGCUCUUGCACUCCAAGCCAUUAUUAAGUAAAGUAAAGAACACAAACACUGUGAUACUGCUACACUUGAUCUGAUAACCAAGAAGUCUACUAAGUGACUAACAGUUAAUAUUUUUGGACAUGAGGUGACUGCAGUUAACUAAAACCAUGGAAAGCAAACCCAUAGAUAAAGGGAUACUAUGCAGAGCAACUGGGAACCUAAUUCUGACCAAAAAGGAGGAAUUGUUUGGCUAAUUGGAAGUGACAGAAACCUUGGGAGAAAGCAACCGCAUACCAAGGAUAAUUAUAAGAAGAAGAGAAGACAUGGAGAAGAGGAGGGAGUAGUUGUGACCGUGGAGGCAGAGAAUGGAGUAAUGUGAUCAUAAAUCAAGGAAUGCUGACAGCCACUAAAGCUGGAGAAGGCCAAGGACAGAUAUUCAAUCCUCCCGUAGAAGUACAGCCCUGCUAAUGCAUUGAUUUUGGACUUCUGGCCUCAGAACUGUAAGAGAAUAAAUUUCUAUUGUUUUAAGCCUUC